RNAcentral lists this small RNA (127 nucleotides) under Marmota monax (woodchuck). The record is from RNAcentral. Lineage: Eukaryota; Metazoa; Chordata; Mammalia; Rodentia; Sciuridae.
GCCGGGUACAAUGGUGCAUGCCUGUAAUCCCAGCAACUAGGGAGGCUGAGACAGGAGGGUUGCAAGUUUGAGGCCAACCUCAGCAACUUAGCAAGGCCCUAAGCAACUUAGUGACACUCUGUCUCAA